CAUAGGUUAAUGAGGCGAACCGGGGGAACUGAAACAUCUAAGUACCCCGAGGAAAAGAAAUCAACCGAGAUUCCCCCAGUAGCGGCGAGCGAACGGGGAGCAGCCCAGAGCCUGAAUCAGUGUGUGUGUUAGUGGAAGCGUCUGGAAAGGCGCGCGAUACAGGGUGACAGCCCCGUACACAAAAAUGCACAUACUGUGAGCUCGAUGAGUAGGGCGGGACACGUGGUAUCCUGUCUGAAUAUGGGGGGACCAUCCUCCAAGGCUAAAUACUCCUGACUGACCGAUAGUGAACCAGUACCGUGAGGGAAAGGCGAAAAGAACCCCGGCGAGGGGAGUGAAAAAGAACCUGAAACCGUGUACGUACAAGCAGUGGGAGCACGCUUAGGCGUGUGACUGCGUACCUUUUGUAUAAUGGGUCAGCGACUUAUAUUCUGUAGCAAGGUUAACCGAAUAGGGGAGCCGAAGGGAAACCGAGUCUUAACUGGGCGUUAAGUUGCAGGGUAUAGACCCGAAACCCGGUGAUCUAGCCAUGGGCAGGUUGAAGGUUGGGUAACACUAACUGGAGGACCGAACCGACUAAUGUUGAAAAAUUAGCGGAUGACUUGUGGCUGGGGGUGAAAGGCCAAUCAAACCGGGAGAUAGCUGGUUCUCCCCGAAAGCUAUUUAGGUAGCGCCUCGUGAAUUCAUCUCCGGGGGUAGAGCACUGUUUCGGCAAGGGGGUCAUCCCGACUUACCAACCCGAUGCAAACUGCGAAUACCGGAGAAUGUUAUCACGGGAGACACACGGCGGGUGCUAACGUCCGUCGUGAAGAGGGAAACAACCCAGACCGCCAGCUAAGGUCCCAAAGUCAUGGUUAAGUGGGAAACGAUGUGGGAAGGCCCAGACAGCCAGGAUGUUGGCUUAGAAGCAGCCAUCAUUUAAAGAAAGCGUAAUAGCUCACUGGUCGAGUCGGCCUGCGCGGAAGAUGUAACGGGGCUAAACCAUGCACCGAAGCUGCGGCAGCGACGCUGAUGCGUUGUUGGGUAGGGGAGCGUUCUGUAAGCCUGUGAAGGUGUGCUGUGAGGCAUGCUGGAGGUAUCAGAAGUGCGAAUGCUGACAUAAGUAACGAUAAAGCGGGUGAAAAGCCCGCUCGCCGGAAGACCAAGGGUUCCUGUCCAACGUUAAUCGGGGCAGGGUGAGUCGACCCCUAAGGCGAGGCCGAAAGGCGUAGUCGAUGGGAAACAGGUUAAUAUUCCUGUACUUGGUGUUACUGCGAAGGGGGGACGGAGAAGGCUAUGUUGGCCGGGCGACGGUUGUCCCGGUUUAAGCGUGUAGGCUGGUUUUCCAGGCAAAUCCGGAAAACUAAGGCUGAGGCGUG
This 1358-nucleotide ribosomal RNA is filed under the name Escherichia coli. RNAcentral's name for it is "partial 23S ribosomal RNA". It matches the Rfam family "Bacterial large subunit ribosomal RNA", at positions 165 to 1565 of the family's 2925-position model. Lineage: Bacteria; Pseudomonadati; Pseudomonadota; Gammaproteobacteria; Enterobacterales; Enterobacteriaceae. The record is from RNAcentral.